UUAUGACGAUACUAUGCCUGAGAAUGCCUGAUCUUGUUUAAUCUUUUCUAAUCUCGGAAGCUAAACAGGGUUGAGCCUGGUUAGCAUUUGGAUGGGAGACUGCUGGGAAUACCAGGUGCUACAUGGA
Molecule: ribosomal RNA, 127 nt
Filed under: Periophthalmus magnuspinnatus
Lineage: Eukaryota; Metazoa; Chordata; Actinopteri; Gobiiformes; Gobiidae
Source: RNAcentral